GGAGUCUGGGCCGUGUCUCAGUCCCAAUGUGGCCGUCCGGCCUCUCAGCCCGGCUACUGAUCGUCGCCUUGGUGGGCCGUUACCCCGCCAACUAGCUAAUCAGACGCGGGCCCAUCCCGUACCACCGGAGUUUUUCACACUGUCCCAUGCGAGACCGUGCGCUUAUGCGGUAUUAUCAGUCGUUUCCAACUGCUAUCCCCCGGUACGGGGCAGGUUGCCCACGCGUUACUCACCCGUUCGCCACUAAGUUACCUCAUGUUUUCUGCCGAAGCUUCAAACGGCGAAGUAACCCCGUUCGACUUGCAUGUGUUAGGCACGCCGCCAGCGUUCAUC
Molecule: ribosomal RNA, 333 nt
Filed under: uncultured Butyrivibrio sp.
Lineage: Bacteria; Bacillati; Bacillota; Clostridia; Lachnospirales; Lachnospiraceae
Description: partial 16S ribosomal RNA
Source: RNAcentral